GUAGGGAAUAUUGGUCAAUGGGCGCAAGCCUGAACCAGCCAUGCCGCGUGCAGGAAGACGGUCCUAUGGAUUGUAAACUGCUUUUAUUUGGGAAUAAACUCCGGUACGUGUACCGGCCUGAAGGUACCAAAUGAAUAAGCACCGGCUAACUCCGUGCCAGCAGCCGCGGUAAUACGGAGGGUGCAAGCGUUAUCCGGAAUCAUUGGGUUUAAAGGGUCCGCAGGCGGUCUUAUAAGUCAGUGGUGAAAGCCUACAGCUCAACUGUAGAACUGCCAUUGAUACUGUAGGACUUGAAUUCGAUCGAAGUGGGCGGAAUGUGACAUGUAGCGGUGAAAUGCUUAGAUAUGUCACAGAACACCGAUAGCGAAGGCAGCUCACUAGGUCUGGAUUGACGCUCAGGGACGAAAGCGUGGGGAGCAAACAGGAUUAGAAACCCGAGUAGUCC
This 445-nucleotide ribosomal RNA is filed under the name uncultured bacterium. RNAcentral's name for it is "partial 16S ribosomal RNA". It matches the Rfam family "Bacterial small subunit ribosomal RNA", at positions 354 to 796 of the family's 1533-position model. The record is from RNAcentral.